Molecule: ribosomal RNA, 1271 nt
Filed under: Flavobacterium sp. JRM
Lineage: Bacteria; Pseudomonadati; Bacteroidota; Flavobacteriia; Flavobacteriales; Flavobacteriaceae
Description: bacterial LSU rRNA
Rfam family: Bacterial large subunit ribosomal RNA
Source: RNAcentral
CUCCCCGAAAUGCAUUUAGGUGCAGCGUCGUGUGUUUCUUGCCGGAGGUAGAGCUACUGGAUGGUUUAGCGGGACCAACAUCUUAGCGACAUCAGCCAAACUCCGAAUGCCGGUAAGUUAGAGCACGGCAGUGAGACUGCGGGGGAUAAGCUUCGUAGUCGAGAGGGAAACAGCCCAGAUCGCCGGCUAAGGCCCCUAAGGGUGUGCUAAGUGGAAAAGGAGGUGGGGUCGCGAAGACAGCCAGGAGGUUGGCUUAGAAGCAGCCAUCCUUGAAAGAGUGCGUAAUAGCUCACUGGUCGAGUGAUUCCGCGCCGACAAUGUAGUGGGGCUUAAGUACACCGCCGAAGCCGCGGCAAUGAUCUUUAUAGGAUUGUUGGGUAGGGGAGCGUCGUGCAUGCGUUGAAGCUUUGGGGUGACCUUGGGUGGAGUGUGUGCGAGUGAGAAUGCAGGCAUGAGUAACGAAUGAUGCGUGAGAAACGUAUCCGCCGGAUGACUAAGGGUUCCUGGGUCAAGUUAAUCUUCCCAGGGUGAGUCGGGGCCUAAGGCGAGGCCGACAGGCGUAGUCGAUGGAUAACGGGUUGAUAUUCCCGUACCCGAGUAUGAGCGACCAUGGUGAAUCAGUGAUACUAACCACCCAUAAGCACCCGCGAAAAGGCUUUGCUUUUUUGUGGUGUGUGGUUGCGUGGGACCUGAUCUGGUAGUAGCUAAGUGAUGGGGUGACGCAGGGAGGUAGCUCAGCCACUUAUUGGAUUGUGGUGUAAGCGUGUGGCACGCAGUGUUGGUAAAUCCGCACUGUUUUUGUGUGAGGCGUGAUGCGGAGCCCGUAAAGGGUGAAGUGGGUGAUCCUGUGCUGUCGAGAAAAGCCUCUAGCGAUGUUGAUAUUCGGCCCGUACCCUAAACCGACACAGGUAGUCAGGUAGAGAAUACUAAGGCGUUCGGGUGAACUGUGGUUAAGGAACUCGGCAAAAUGCCCCCGUAACUUCGGGAGAAGGGGGGCCACGGCGUGUGAACAACUUUUCGUUGGGAGCGUGUUGUGGUCGCAGAGAAUAGAGGGAAGCGACUGUUUACUAAAAACACAGGUCCGUGCGAAGACGUUUAAGUUGAUGUAUACGGACUGACGCCUGCCCGGUGCUGGAAGGUUAAGAGGACCGGUUAGGAAAACUUGUUUUUUCGAAGCUGAGAAUUUAAGCCCCAGUAAACGGCGGUGGUAACUAUAACCAUCCUAAGGUAGCGAAAUUCCUUGUCGGGUAAGUUCCGACCUGCACGAAUGG